AUUGAACGCUAGCGGGAUGCCUUACACAUGCCAGUCGAACGGCAGCGCGGACUUCGGUCUGGCGGCGAGUGGCGAACGGGUGAGUAAUGUAUCGGAACGUGCCCAGUAGCGGGGGAUAACUACGCGAAAGCGUAGCUAAUACCGCAUACGCCCUACGGGGGAAAGCAGGGGAUCGUAAGACCUUGCACUAUUGGAGCGGCCGAUAUCGGAUUAGCUAGUUGGUGAGGUAACGGCUCACCAAGGCGACGAUCCGUAGCUGGUUUGAGAGGACGACCAGCCACACUGGGACUGAGACACGGCCCAGACUCCUACGGGAGGCAGCAGUGGGGAAUUUUGGACAAUGGGGGCAACCCUGAUCCAGCCAUCCCGCGUGUGCGAUGAAGGCCUUCGGGUUGUAAAGCACUUUUGGCAGGAAAGAAACGUCGCGGGCUAAUACCCCGUGGAACUGACGGUACCUGCAGAAUAAGCACCGGCUAACUACGUG
Molecule: ribosomal RNA, 484 nt
Filed under: uncultured bacterium
Lineage: Bacteria
Description: partial 16S ribosomal RNA
Rfam family: Bacterial small subunit ribosomal RNA
Source: RNAcentral